AUUUUUAUAGACCCUUGCUGUUAUUGCAGUCCACGGAAAAACAUCAGCACCAAGAUAUCAAACUGAUGCCCAAUUUAUAAAACUCAUGAAAAUAAAGAAAAUCCAGGGAUGGCAGCUUUAAGAAGAAUAACACCGAGAGAUUAAAUGAGUUUUAGGAGAGAAAAGCCUUUCUGCCUCCAGUCACCAGAUAAAAGGAACAUCAUUCCAGAGCUGGGAAA
RNAcentral lists this long non-coding RNA (218 nucleotides) under Mus spicilegus (steppe mouse). RNAcentral's name for it is "lncRNA (ENSMSIG00000001236.1)". Lineage: Eukaryota; Metazoa; Chordata; Mammalia; Rodentia; Muridae. The record is from RNAcentral.